This 521-nucleotide ribosomal RNA is filed under the name uncultured Planctomycetota bacterium. RNAcentral's name for it is "bacterial SSU rRNA". It matches the Rfam family "Bacterial small subunit ribosomal RNA", at positions 117 to 643 of the family's 1533-position model. The record is from RNAcentral. Lineage: Bacteria; Pseudomonadati; Planctomycetota.
GACGGUAACCAACCCCAUGGGUGGGUAUAGCCGCGGGAAACYGCGGGUAAUCCCCAGCGAAGCAAAGCGACCGGCAUCGGUCGUUUGCCAAAGCUCCGGCGCCGUGGGACGGGCCGUCGUGGUAUUAGGUAGUUGGGGGGGUAACGGCCCACCAAGCCUACGAUGCCUACCGGGCGUGCGAGCGUGGCCCGGCACACUGGGACUGAGACACUGCCCAGACUCCUACGGGAGGCUGCAGUCGAGAAUCUUCGGCAAUGGGCGCAAGCCUGACCGAGCGACGCCGCGUGGAGGACGAAGGCCUUCGGGUUGUAAACUCCUGUCGAGGGGAAAGAAGGCCCGCAAGGGCUUGACUGAUCCCUGGAGGAAGCACGGGCUAAGUUCGUGCCAGCAGCCGCGGUAAGACGAACCGUGCGAACGUUAUUCGGAAUCACUGGGCUUAAAGCGCGUGUAGGCGGGAGGGCACGUCCGUCGCUGAAAUCCCCCGGCUCAACCGGGGAAGUGGCGCGGAUACGACCUUCCUG